GGGGCUAUAGCUCAGCUGGGAGAGCGCUUGCAUGGCAUGCAAGAGGUCGACGGUUCGAUCCCGUAUAGCUCCACCA
This 76-nucleotide transfer RNA is filed under the name Pseudomonas sp. FW306-02-H05-AA. Its description in RNAcentral is "tRNA-Ala". It matches the Rfam family "tRNA". From Rfam's summary of the family: Transfer RNA (tRNA) molecules are approximately 80 nucleotides in length. Their secondary structure includes four short double-helical elements and three loops (D, anti-codon, and T loops). The record is from RNAcentral. Lineage: Bacteria; Pseudomonadati; Pseudomonadota; Gammaproteobacteria; Pseudomonadales; Pseudomonadaceae.